Molecule: ribosomal RNA, 484 nt
Filed under: uncultured bacterium
Lineage: Bacteria
Description: partial 16S ribosomal RNA
Rfam family: Bacterial small subunit ribosomal RNA
Source: RNAcentral
AUUGAACGCUGGCGGCAGGCCUAACACAUGCAAGUCGAGCGGAUGAAGGGAGCUUGCUCCUGGAUUCAGCGGCGGACGGGUGAGUAAUGCCUAGGAAUCUGCCUGGUAGUGGGGGAUAACGUCCGGAAACGGGCGCUAAUACCGCAUACGUCCUGAGGGAGAAAGUGGGGGAUCUUCGGACCUCACGCUAUCAUAUGAGCCUAGGUCGGAUUAGCUAGUUGGUGGGGUAAAGGCCUACCAAGGCGACGAUCCGUAACUGGUCUGAGAGGAUGAUCAGUCACACUGGAACUGAGACACGGUCCAGACUCCUACGGGAGGCAGCAGUGGGGAAUAUUGGACAAUGGGCGAAAGCAUGAUCCAGCCAUGCCGCGUGUGUGAAGAAGGUCUUCGGAUUGUAAAGCACUUUAAGUUGGGAGGAAGGGCGGUAAGUUAAUACCUUGCUGUUUUGACGUUACCAACAGAAUAAGCACCGGCUAACUUCGUG